This 433-nucleotide long non-coding RNA is filed under the name Monodelphis domestica (gray short-tailed opossum). Its description in RNAcentral is "lncRNA (ENSMODG00000041601.1)". The record is from RNAcentral. Lineage: Eukaryota; Metazoa; Chordata; Mammalia; Didelphimorphia; Didelphidae.
GAGGCAGAGUCACUCAAAGUCUUUUGCCUCAUGCUUUCUUUCAGAGUCAUUCAAGCCCAGUGGGAAGACAAAAGUUAGAACAAUUGGCUGUGGCCCAGGAUGCAUAGGACAACUUUGGCCUCAAUGAUGUCUGGCCAUGCUCUUAUCAUUCCAUAGCACCUAUUUCAGCUGUUUUCAUGGAGAUUGGAACAAAUUGUUCUCAAUGACCUAUUCCACUCAAGGAAGUCUUCACAUGCCUGGGAAACCCAGAAUUUGACUAAACUCUUCAACACCAAGUUCCACAGUCACCAGUUGCACCAGCCCUAGUCUUCCUCAAGGAGCUACUGGCAGUACAAUGCAGAUGUCUUCUAGCAGUCCAUUUCCACGGGCCAGAAAAACAAAACAACAAAAUAACAAAAAUAAAGCAAUCACCCAGCUUAAGGAGUAAUAUUAU